UGAUUGGCUGGGAGAAACACAGGGAGCAAGCAGGGCUGACGAGGCUGGUACAGGGCAGGUGUUGAGGGAGGAGCAGGCUGGGGAAACCCAGUAAACUUUACCGCAGUCUUGCUUCCCUCUUGACCUUCAUCACAUCUUAUGCUUGAUCUGUCACCGUCUCGUCCUUUCCCAUACUGAGCAUCAUCACAUUUAACAUCUUAAGAGGAGGCGUGGCACCCCAGGACCCUGAAUGUACCACAUGUCGUUGCUUAUUACGAAGACGAAAAGUCAAAGUCAACAUUUUACAUCAAAUAUAUGCUGGCAAUAUUGUCCAUCAGGAGGGAGGGUAUUGAUGCAUCCACAUGUGUCAUCAGUGAUGUUGUCACAGGAUCCAUACAGGAAACACUGGUCACAUGACCAACGAUACUGAUCCUCACAUCUGCACUGGAAACCAGCACUGCUUGGAUAGCAAACUGGGGAGGGUUAAAGAAAAUAUCAAGAUCAUUUACAAAGAAAUCUUGUGUUGUUAUUGUUGAUAUACACAUAUAAGUUGUGAAUUUUGCAUGAAAUAAAUACACAUUUGUUGUACACAGGUAAAAAUGUUUAGCAGUGUAGAGGUGGUUCCGUUUUUUGUGUCACUCAGUGUAUUGUCUACCUUCUCUAUUGUUUUGCUUUGCUUUAACUGACCACAGAAUAAAUUGCUUAUCAGUACUUUUAG
This is a long non-coding RNA of Thunnus maccoyii (southern bluefin tuna), 697 nucleotides long. RefSeq lists it as uncharacterized. The record is from RefSeq and is a predicted model, not a curated record. NCBI's taxonomy places the organism in Eukaryota, Metazoa, Chordata, Actinopteri, Scombriformes, Scombridae. The transcript has 4 exons.